GCAUCGAUGAAGAACGCAGCGAAAUGCGAUAAGUAGUGUGAAUUGCAGAAUUCAGUGAAUCAUCGAAUCUUUGAACGCACAUUGCGCCCCUUGGUAUUCCAUGGGGCAUGCCUGUUCGAGCGUCAUUUGUACCUUCAAGCUCUGCUUGGUGUUGGGUGUUUGUCUCGCCUCUGCGUGUAGACUCGCCUUAAAACAAUUGGCAGCCGGCGUAUUGAUUUCGGAGCGCAGUACAUCUCGCGCUUUGCACUCACAACGACGACGUCCAAAAGUACAUUUUUACACUCUUGACCUCGGAUCAGGUAGGGAUACCCGCUGAACUUAAGCAUAUCAAUAAGCGGAGGAA
Molecule: ribosomal RNA, 343 nt
Filed under: uncultured fungus
Lineage: Eukaryota; Fungi
Description: eukaryotic LSU rRNA
Rfam family: 5.8S ribosomal RNA (bases 1-125)
Source: RNAcentral